AUACGGAAGGUCCGGGCGUUAUCCGGAUUUAUUGGGUUUAAAGGGAGCGCAGGCGGAGAUGCAAGCGUGACGUCAAAUUUCGGGGCUCAACCCCGUCUCGCGUCGCGAACUGCGUCCCUUGGUUGCGGGAAGGGGAGGCGGAACUCGUGGUGUAGCGGUGAAAUGCAUAGAUAUCACGAAGAACUCCGAUCGCGAAGGCAGCCUUCCGGCCCGUCAACGACGCUCAUGCUCGAAGGUGCGGGUAUCAAACAGGAUUAGAUACCCUGGUAGUCCGCACAGUAAACGAUGGACACCCGCGGUUUGGCCUGUAUGGCUGAGCCGCCAAGCGAAAGCGUUAAGUGUCCCACCUGGGGAGUACGCCGGCAACGGUGAAACUCAAAUGAAUUGGCGGG
RNAcentral lists this ribosomal RNA (392 nucleotides) under uncultured bacterium. RNAcentral describes it as "partial 16S ribosomal RNA". It matches the Rfam family "Bacterial small subunit ribosomal RNA", at positions 523 to 917 of the family's 1533-position model. The record is from RNAcentral.